Molecule: ribosomal RNA, 245 nt
Filed under: uncultured bacterium
Lineage: Bacteria
Description: partial 16S ribosomal RNA
Rfam family: Bacterial small subunit ribosomal RNA
Source: RNAcentral
UACGUAGGGUGCGAGCGUUAAUCGGAAUUACUGGGCGUAAAGCGUGCGCAGGCGGUUUUGUAAGCCAGAUGUGAAAUCCCCGGGCUUAACCUGGGAAUGGCAUUUGGGACUGCAAGGCUUGAGUGCGGCAGAGGAGACUGGAAUUCCUGGUGUAGCAGUGAAAUGCGUAGAUAUCAGGAGGAACACCGAUGGCGAAGGCAGGUCUCUGGGCUGACACUGACGCUCAUGCACGAAAGCCGUGGGGA